This 392-nucleotide ribosomal RNA is filed under the name uncultured bacterium. Its description in RNAcentral is "bacterial SSU rRNA". It matches the Rfam family "Bacterial small subunit ribosomal RNA", at positions 796 to 1178 of the family's 1533-position model. The record is from RNAcentral.
CUAGCUGUAAACGGUGCACGUUUGCUGUAAGAGGAAUCGACCCCUUUUGUGGCGAAGCUAACGCGAUAAACGUGCCGCCUGGGGAGUACGGUCGCAAGAUUAAAACUCAAAGAAAUUGACGGGGGCCUGCACAAGCGGUGGAGUAUGUGGCUUAAUUCGAUGCAACGCGAAGAACCUUACCUGGCCUUGACAUGCACGUAGUAGGAGCCUGAAAGGGUAACGACCCCGCAAGGGGAGCGUGCACAGGUGCUGCAUGGCUGUCGUCAGCUCGUGUCGUGAGAUGUUGGGUUAAGUCCCGCAACGAGCGCAACCCUUGUGUCCUGUUGCCACUCAAUCGAGAGAUUGGAGCACUCUGGACAGACUGCCUCGCUUAAACGAGGAGGAAGGUGGGA